Molecule: small RNA, 76 nt
Filed under: Dokdonia pacifica
Lineage: Bacteria; Pseudomonadati; Bacteroidota; Flavobacteriia; Flavobacteriales; Flavobacteriaceae
Description: Flavo-1 RNA
Rfam family: Flavo-1 RNA
Source: Rfam by way of RNAcentral
UUUUUGCGUGAGGGAUAGAAACGGCAUCCUUUUGUGAGUAUGCGAACAAAAGAUAUAGUGGAUAGCCCGACCUGAU